Molecule: ribosomal RNA, 514 nt
Filed under: uncultured bacterium
Lineage: Bacteria
Description: bacterial SSU rRNA
Rfam family: Bacterial small subunit ribosomal RNA
Source: RNAcentral
GAGUUUGAUCAUGGCUCAGAUUGAACGCUGGCGGCAGGCCUAACACAUGCAAGUCGGGCGGUAGAGAGAAGCUUGCUUCUCUUGAGAGCGGCGGACGGGUGAGUAAUGCCUAGGAAUCUGCCUGGUAGUGGGGGAUAACGCUCGGAAACGGACGCUAAUACCGCAUACGUCCUACGGGAGAAAGCAGGGGACCUUCGGGCCUUGCGCUAUCAGAUGAGCCUAGGUCGGAUUAGCUAGUUGGUGAGGUAAUGGCUCACCAAGGCGACGAUCCGUAACUGGUCUGAGAGGAUGAUCAGUCACACUGGAACUGAGACACGGUCCAGACUCCUACGGGAGGCAGCAGUGGGGAAUAUUGGACAAUGGGCGAAAGCCUGAUCCAGCCAUGCCGCGUGUGUGAAGAAGGUCUUCGGAUUGUAAAGCACUUUAAGUUGGGAGGAAGGGCAGUAAAUUAAUACUUUAGCUGUUUUGACGUUACCGACAGAAUAAGCACCGGCUAACUCUGUGCCAGCCGCCG